CCAUGCUGAAGCCUUUCUUGUGUUCGUUUGCCAAAACACGCAGUAGAGCCAGGAGCCAAGGCAUUCCUCUGCUCCCUGUUCACAGGCAAGAGAUGGAAUCAUUUCUUUUGGACACGCUGUUGAACUGCAUUAUCAACCAGACCGACUGAGAGCGUAAGGCCGGAUGCAGCAGGCUCCUUGGAGUUACAGCACAUGCCAGGCCCGGGAGCACAGUGGGAACGAUAUCCAGACUGUUGUAUGUGCAGCAGCAGAACCAGGGAGCUUCUCCACAAAUUGACUGAGCGGUUCCAGAAGAUUUGGAAGCAAACGGCAGCCUCACAUAAAUGUCCAGGAGAGAACAGAGGCCAGGCCCACACCUGCCCUCGUCCCCAUCCUCACCUGGAGAGCCAGGGCCCCUGCUGUGAACCAGGGGUAAGAAAAAUGAAAAGCCUGGGAUUCCAGCUUAUUGCAAGAAAUAUCCAGAAAGGGCACAGCAGGAAUGCCGGCAGCAGCCUGGGUGCCCAGCCUUGCUCCUGAAAGGUACAGACUCCAGGUAUUCGAAUAGUGUUUAGUAGGGCCCAGGAACCCUGGCCUGCACAGAACGUCCACAUGGGCGGGAUUGGUGCAGCAGGCUGGAGAGAAGGGCUGGGGCGAGUGGUGGUGCUUUGAGUCCGUACUUGACAUAUGAUGGAGAAAACUUCAAUUAUCCGUAUCAGAGAUGGAAGGCUGGGUAUUAUGAGGUGGGGGUUACAGAAGGCCGUUAAGAUUAGGUGAAAGAUGAUAGACUUAUUGGGGUGAUCACUUCGUAGGGUAUAUGAAUGUCUAAUCACUAUGUUGUACACUAGAAACUAAUGUAAUAUUAUAUGUCAACUGUAAUUAAAAAAUAAAUAUUAAAAAAAAAGAUUAGAAGAAAAAAUAAAGGGAGAGAGAAGAAUAGAGGGCGAGGAAAAAAUGAUUGGAUGGAAGGGGAGAAGAAAAUGAAACUUAAGAACCAGAGUUUCUAAAAUCAGCUUCUGUCAAACUUAUGCCAUCAUCUGUUAAAGGUCUAAAACCCACAUUUCAUGAAAAUAUUUUUUAAAUAUUUACCAUUAGGACUGGAAAUCUGAUGUGACAUUAUGGUGUGAAUAAAGCAUUUGGGUUUUGGAGAAAAGCAGAACUGAUUUUAAAUCUUGACACUGCUAUUUCUUAGCUGAGUGAUCUAGGAUAAGCCUCAGCUUCCCUGUGAGUAAAAAUGGUAUGAAAAUACCCACAUACAGGCAACAGCGUCUGAUAGCGUGGGAUGCAGGCAGUGGGCUCGAGAGGACCCUGGCG
This 1290-nucleotide long non-coding RNA is filed under the name Rhinolophus ferrumequinum (greater horseshoe bat). Its description in RNAcentral is "lncRNA (ENSRFEG00010003690.1)". The record is from RNAcentral. Lineage: Eukaryota; Metazoa; Chordata; Mammalia; Chiroptera; Rhinolophidae.